RNAcentral lists this ribosomal RNA (253 nucleotides) under uncultured bacterium. RNAcentral's name for it is "partial 16S ribosomal RNA". It matches the Rfam family "Bacterial small subunit ribosomal RNA", at positions 524 to 776 of the family's 1533-position model. The record is from RNAcentral.
UACGUAGGCAGCGAGCGUUGUUCGGAGUUACUGGGCGUAAAGGGUGUGUAGGCGGUUGUUUAAGUUUGGUGUGAAAUCUCCCGGCUCAACUGGGAGGGUGCGCCGAAUACUGAAUGACUAGAGUGCGGGAGAGGUGAGUGGAAUUCCUGGCGUAGCGGUGAAAUGCGUAGAUAUCAGGAGGAACACCGGUGGUGUAGACGGCUCACUGGACCGUAACUGACGCUGAGACACGAAAGCGUGGGUAGCAAACAGG